UUUCCGUAGGUGAACCUGCGGAAGGAUCAUUACCACGAAGUUUUUGUGCCAAACACACAAAAACAAACCACUAUACCAAAAACCAUGUGUGAAAGUAUCGAAUGAUCUUGUGGUUUUGCUUGCGGGCCUCUGUGUUUGCUUUAGCAAGACCAACUUUUUUCAACACAUUAACAACAUUUUUACUGAGAAUCUUUUGUCAGUUUUUAAGGUAAACUGAAUUUUAAACCAAUGAGAAAAAACUUUUAACGGUGGAUCUCUUGGCUCGU
RNAcentral lists this unclassified non-coding RNA (266 nucleotides) under plant metagenome. RNAcentral describes it as "partial contains small subunit ribosomal RNA, internal transcribed spacer 1, and 5.8S ribosomal RNA". The record is from RNAcentral.